GGAUGGAUGGCCGAGCGGUCGAAGGCACUCGCCUGCUAAGCGAGUAUGGGUCAAAAGCCCAUCGAGGGUUCGAAUCCCUCUCCAUCCGCCA
RNAcentral lists this transfer RNA (91 nucleotides) under Rhodospirillales bacterium. RNAcentral describes it as "tRNA-Ser". It matches the Rfam family "tRNA". From Rfam's summary of the family: Transfer RNA (tRNA) molecules are approximately 80 nucleotides in length. The record is from RNAcentral. Lineage: Bacteria; Pseudomonadati; Pseudomonadota; Alphaproteobacteria; Rhodospirillales.